RNAcentral lists this ribosomal RNA (166 nucleotides) under uncultured bacterium. Its description in RNAcentral is "partial 16S ribosomal RNA". It matches the Rfam family "Bacterial small subunit ribosomal RNA", at positions 1328 to 1500 of the family's 1533-position model. The record is from RNAcentral.
GGAUUCGCUAGUAAUCGCGCAUCAGCCAUGGCGCGGUGAAUACGUUCCCGGGCCUUGUACACACCGCCCGUCAAGCCAUGGGAGCUGGGGGGUGCCUGAAGUUCGUGACCGCAAGGAUCGACCUAGGGCAAAACCGGUGACUGGGGCUAAGUCGUAACAAGGUACC